UCAAUAAGCGGAGGAAAAGAAACCAACAGGGAUUGCCCCAGUAACGGCGAGUGAAGCGGCAACAGCUCAAAUUUGAAAUCUGGCUCUCGGGCCCGAGUUGUAAUUUGUAGAGGAUGCUUUUGGUGAGGUGCCUUCCGAGUUCCCUGGAACGGGACGCCAUAGAGGGUGAGAGCCCCGUCUGGUUGGACACCGAUCCUCUGUAAAGCUCCUUCGACGAGUCGAGUAGUUUGGGAAUGCUGCUCUAAAUGGGAGGUAUAUGUCUUCUAAAGCUAAAUACCGGCCAGAGACCGAUAGCGCACAAGUAGAGUGAUCGAAAGAUGAAAAGAACUUUGAAAAGAGAGUUAAAAAGUACGUGAAAUUGUUGAAAGGGAAGCGCUUGUGACCAGACUUGGGCUUGGUUGAUCAUCCGGGGUUCUCCCCGGUGCACUCUUCCGGCUCAGGCCAGCAUCAGUUCGCCCUGGGGGAUAAAGGCUUCGGGAAUGUGGCUCUCUCCGGGGAGUGUUAUAGCCCGCUGCGUAAUACCCUGUGGCGGACUGAGGUUCGCGCAUUCGCAAGGAUGCUGGCGUAAUGGUCAUCAGUGACCCGUCUUGAAACACGGACCAAGGAGUCGUCUUCGUAUGCGAGUGUUCGGGUGUCAAACCCCUACGCGAAAUGAAAGUGAACGCAGGUGAGAGCUUCGGCGCAUCAUCGACCGAUCCUGAUGUUAUCGGAUGGAUUUGAGUAAGAGCAUACGGGGCCGGACCCGAAAGAAGGUGAACUAUGCCUGUGUAGGGUGAAGCCAGAGGAAACUCUGGUGGAGGCUCGCAGCGGUUCUGACGUGCAAAUCGAUCGUCAAACAUGGGCAUGGGGGC
RNAcentral lists this ribosomal RNA (851 nucleotides) under Fusarium solani. RNAcentral describes it as "partial large subunit ribosomal RNA". It matches the Rfam family "Eukaryotic large subunit ribosomal RNA", at positions 43 to 924 of the family's 3401-position model. Lineage: Eukaryota; Fungi; Ascomycota; Sordariomycetes; Hypocreales; Nectriaceae. The record is from RNAcentral.